AACGAACGCUGGCGGCAGGCCUAACACAUGCAAGUCGAGCGCCCUUUCGGGGGAGCGGCGGACGGGUGAGUACCGCGUGGGAAUAUGCCCUUCUCUACGGAAUAGCCUCGGGAAACUGAGAGUAAUACCGUAUACGCCCUGUGGGGGAAAGAUUUAUCGGGGAAGGAUUAGCCCGCGUUGGAUUAGGUAGUUGGUGGGGUAAUGGCCUACCAAGCCGACGAUCCAUAGCUGGUUUGAGAGGCUGAUCAGCCACACUGGGACUGAGACACGGCCCAGACUCCUACGGGAGGGAGCAGUGGGGAAUCUUAGACAAUGGGGGCAACCCUGAUCUAGCCAUGCCGCGUGAGUGAUGAAGGCCUUAGGGUUGUAAAGCUCUUUCAGCUGGGAAGAUAAUGACGGUACCAGCAGAAGAAGCCCCGGCUAACUCCGUG
This 431-nucleotide ribosomal RNA is filed under the name uncultured bacterium. RNAcentral's name for it is "partial 16S ribosomal RNA". It matches the Rfam family "Bacterial small subunit ribosomal RNA", at positions 29 to 507 of the family's 1533-position model. The record is from RNAcentral.